This 1259-nucleotide long non-coding RNA is filed under the name Nicotiana benthamiana. RNAcentral describes it as "long non-coding RNA (NBEN_LNC002701)". The record is from RNAcentral. Lineage: Eukaryota; Viridiplantae; Streptophyta; Magnoliopsida; Solanales; Solanaceae.
CUUAGUCCAACCCUCAAAUUACAUCAAACAAUACUAAAACCAUAAAUCACCCUCCAAUCCAAACCUAAAGAGCUUGACAUUUCAAGAAUUCUACACCCGAUGCUUAAACCAACCAAACCAAGUUCAAACUGACCCCAAAUUUUACACACGAGUCACAUUCACCACUAUAGAGUUACUCUAACUUUCAGAAUCAGAUUUUAACCCCGAUAUCAAAAUCUCACUAUCGAUUCGAAAUCUUCAAAAUUUAAACUUUCUGUUCCAAGCCUAAAUAAGCUACGGACCUCCAACACACAAUCCAAACAUGCCCCUAAGUCUGAAAUCACCUAAUUCAGCUAACGGAAUCGACAAAAAUUCAUUACGAGUCCGUCUUCACACUGCUCCGACUACUAAUCACAUUAUAAAGCUUAAACUCUCAUUUAGGGACUAAGAUUAUUUUAUAAGUUAUUUGAUGGUGUGAUACGGCUAUGAGCCAUGAGAUUGUAAUUUGAUGGUUCGAUACGGCUAUGAGCCAUAAUGUUGGGGCAUUGUGUAUGCCUUUGUAUAUCACCCGAUCAUUGUGUAUGCUUCUUGAUAUCUAUUCCAGGCACUGUGUAUGCUUCAGUGAGACUUUUAUAUGCUCUGUUACAUAUUUGAGGCAUUGUGGUGCCAUUGUGAACUCGUAAAAGUGUUGGUUAAUUUCUUACACUACAGCUAUGACAAGUCCUUAGUGUGUCCGUGAUAAGAUAUGUGUACUUUUGUUGGUUAAUUCUUAUUAACUCUGUUGAUACAUAUAUAUUGAGUUAUUGUAUAGUCAUCGUAUUUAUUAUAUUGUUUUUGUUGUGGUUUUUUAUAUUUCUAAGACUUAUUCCAGAGGUAUUCAAAGUGGCGGGUCGAGGAGCUUACGUGGUUAUAUUUAUGUAUAACUCACUCCUUAUUUGCAUCUCUAUGCAGAUACCAUUUUGGGAGAUUGAGCUACUGGAUGACGAGUUGUUAGAGUGGAUCCUAUUGCUGAGAUGAGCCAUCAUAUUGUUCGUGGGAGACUUUCGUUUUAGUUUUAUCUAGUUCAUGUUAGUUAUUUCUUUUUUUUUAGGGUUUGCAUACAUGUCAGUAAAACGCAUAUUAUUCUGUAGAUGCUUUAUAUUCUUAAAAUGAGAUUUGGGAUAGAGUUUUAUUAUUUUAGUGAUUAUUGAUUUUUCCAUUAAUUGGCAAAAAUAUUGGGUGAUAACUACUUGGUCUCUAAUUAUUAAUAAUUCUUUUAGGUCUGCACUUAUUUUUCUCCC